AGUGAACGCUGGCGGUAGGCCUAACACAUGCAAGUCGAACGGCAGCACAGUAAGAGCUUGCUCUUACGGGUGGCGAGUGGCGGACGGGUGAGGAAUACAUCGGAAUCUACUUUUUCGUGGGGGAUAACGUAGGGAAACUUACGCUAAUACCGCAUACGACCUCCGGGUGAAAGCAGGGGAUCUUCUGACCUUGCGCGAUUGAAUGAGCCGAUGUCGGAUUAGCUAGUUGGCGGGGUAAAGGCCCACCAAGGCGACGAUCCGUAGCUGGUCUGAGAGGAUGAUCAGCCAGACUGGAAGUGAGACACGGUCCAGACUCCUACGGGAGGCAGCAGUGGGGAAUAUUGGACAAAGGGCGCAAGCCUGAUCCAGCAAAACCGCGUGGGUGAAGAAGGCCUUCGGGUUGUAAAGCCCUUUUGUUGGGAAAGAAAAGAAGCAGGUUAAUACCCCGCUGUUCUGACGGUACCCAAAGAAUAAGCACCGGCUAACUUCGUG
Molecule: ribosomal RNA, 492 nt
Filed under: uncultured bacterium
Lineage: Bacteria
Description: partial 16S ribosomal RNA
Rfam family: Bacterial small subunit ribosomal RNA
Source: RNAcentral